CCCUCAUCGAUAACGCCCUGAGCAAAAAGCCGCAGGUGGUGCAGAUUGAGGCGAGUGACAAAGCGUUCAAGACCACCGGCUGCCAGCCCUGGCAGCAGACGAGUGACGCCACCGCACCAACCGAUCUCUCCGGGCCGGCAGCAGGGGCUCAACUGCAAAACAAUCUCGGGAUCCUCAAUGGGCUGCUCGCCCCAAACGGACAGCAAGUG
RNAcentral lists this non-coding RNA (209 nucleotides) under Mycobacterium haemophilum. RNAcentral's name for it is "Mycobacterium sRNA 6715". It matches the Rfam family "Mycobacterium sRNA 6715". From Rfam's summary of the family: First sRNA identified as a potential biomarker for the detection of MTB in patients. Lineage: Bacteria; Bacillati; Actinomycetota; Actinomycetes; Mycobacteriales; Mycobacteriaceae. The record is from Rfam by way of RNAcentral.